GUUGAACGCUGGCGGCGGGCCUAAUACAUGCAAGUCGAGCGGACAGAUGAAGCUUUUGCUCGUCUUACGUGAGGGGCGGGCGGGUGAUUAACAGGAGUAUAACCGACCUAUAAGGCUGGGAUCAGUUCGGGAAAGCUGAUCUAAUACCGGAUAAGAUGGUGAACCUGAGGGUUCUUUGGAGAUAACCGUAUUUGCUGUCACUAGUAGAGGUUUCCUCGCCGCAUUAGCUAGUUGGUACGGUAACGGCUUACCAAGGCUACGAUGCGUAGCUGAACUGAGAGGGUGAUCGGCCACACUGGAACUGAGACACGGUCCAGACUCCUACGGGAGGCAGCAGUAGGGAAUAUUGGGCAAUGGGCGAAAGCCUGACGCAGCCAUGCCGCGUGUGUGAUGAAGGUCUUCGGAUCGUAAAGCACUGUUAGUAGGGAAGAACAACUGUGUAAGUAAACCUGGCCGUAUUGACGUUACCUACUGAAAAAGCACCGGCUAACUACGUG
This 497-nucleotide ribosomal RNA is filed under the name uncultured bacterium. RNAcentral describes it as "partial 16S ribosomal RNA". It matches the Rfam family "Bacterial small subunit ribosomal RNA", at positions 28 to 507 of the family's 1533-position model. The record is from RNAcentral.